UUGAACGCUGGCGGCAUGCCUUACACAUGCAAGUCGAACGGUAGAGGGGCAACCCUUGAGAGUGGCGAACGGGUGAGUAAUAUAUCGGAACGUGCCCAGUCGUGGGGGAUAACGCAGCGAAAGCUGCGCUAAUACCGCAUACGAUCUAUGGAUGAAAGCGGGGGAUCGCAAAGACCUCGCGCGAUUGGAGCGGCCGAUAUCAGAUUAGGUAGUUGGUGGGGUAAAAG
Molecule: ribosomal RNA, 227 nt
Filed under: uncultured bacterium
Lineage: Bacteria
Description: partial 16S ribosomal RNA
Rfam family: Bacterial small subunit ribosomal RNA
Source: RNAcentral